AUGCGGCGGGAAGAAGUGGCAUUUAGAAGUGUUGCUGACUUUACAUUUAGGUUUCGGCAUAACAAAGCUUGCACUGUCUUUUCGCACUUAGGCGCACAGCGUGCCGUUGGUAAUGAUUCUACUAUGGUGCUGCAAAUUCGCAAGCUGAUCCUAAGUAAUCGUUGUUGUUCAUUGGAUUCCUCCGGAAUUACUUCGUUAGGAUUGAAGAAUUGCUGCAAUUCUUCCUGA
This 228-nucleotide ribosomal RNA is filed under the name Triticum aestivum (bread wheat). Its description in RNAcentral is "partial small subunit ribosomal RNA". The record is from RNAcentral. Lineage: Eukaryota; Viridiplantae; Streptophyta; Magnoliopsida; Poales; Poaceae.